GUUAAUGUAAAAAUAGAUGUUCUGCAGGCAUCAUAGAGUUCCUCUUUAGGUUCCCAUGGAAACCGAGCAGCGCAAGUAUGUGAAGAAUUUUUUUAAGUUAGCCCAAGAUUUUGUCCUCCAAAGAUUUAGGGUCAUUCUGCCUUGUGGUUUGGGGGCAUUUUUUUUUAAAGUUUUUUUUAAGUAAUUAAUAAAAUAACUUCACCUUCCCUCCAUCCUCCCCAACCUACUCACAGAGCAUUCUUUUAUUUAAAGUGUCCAACACAAAGGUUAUUUUGUGACAUUUUGAAUAAUGCAACCCCUUAAGGGUAUUUUUUUAAAGUUCUUUUGCAACAAAGUUUCUCCUCCCCAACCUCAGAAGACGGAAACAAAAGAGACAUUUAUUUCGUUCGAUUUAAAGUGAUUUGGAAUUGCUGCUGGGGUUAGAUUAUGGGAAAUUGCCCACCAGGGAAACAAACUUGGUCACCACCCCUGAACUGCAGUGAUGACGUCCCAUGGGGACACACAAGACAAACAAAAUACUGAGAAAACCGAGGUUCUCACUCUGCCCACAGAGGGAGCUCCGAGUUGCAGCUGCCUCUUUCUGCUCCUUUUCAGUUCAGAUAAAUUGCACUUGGUCAACGGAAAUGUCCUAAGGGCACUGCAGCUGCAGCUGGAGAAUGAAGAAGACAUAAAAUUAGGGCUUUUGUCACUGUCGCUUGAUUUCAUUAAAGGGCAUUAGUUCUCGGCGAGAUAUAUGGGGUUGGAGAGGACAGGAGCCAGAAGCUCCCAGUGCAGCAGCAAGGCUGGCCCACGUGAGCACCUGGAGCAUCAUUUCUGCUGCCACAUGCUUGGGCUGCCCCACCCCGCCGUGCCCUGCUCAGCCGUGCCCUGCUCCAUCUCCCUCGCCAGGCCUGAGACCGGCCCCCAGUGUGUUGUGACUCCUGAGGUCUCUCAGCUCUCCCUCAACCCCCAGGAGAAUUGCUCUCCACUCCAGAAGCCGCCUGAUGGGGAGGCUGACCCCUCUCCAGGACUGACUGAUCCAGGUUUAUCCUGACAGUAACCUCUCCCCAGGUCGGAAGACCUCUCAGGCUCUGUUUCUAGGGAGGCUGACCUGCUGACAAUGCUCCUAGCUGGAUUUUGUAAGCGGUCUUGAAUAAAGUCUUCCUCACUGUUUUAACAAGAGACAAGGUAAUGUUCAUUGAACAUCUUAUACAAAGAGGAAACCUGGCACAGAAGUGGACAUGCACUCGGAGGGAAAAUGCCAAGUGACAAUGAAGGCAGAGAUCAGGUGAUGCAUCUGCAAGCUGAGCAACAUCAGGAAUUGCCAAAAACCACCAGGAGCUGGAGAGGCCUGGGACAGAGCCUCCCACGGAGCCUCAAGGGAGCCAGCCCUGCCCACGCCUUGAUCUUUGACGUCCGACCUCAAGAACUAUGAAAGAACCCAUUUCUGUUGGUGAAGGCUCCCCGUCUGUGGUCCCCUGUCCUGGCAGCCCUAGGAACCUGACCUCUGGUCCCUCUGCAUCCCUGGCAUCACUCUGCCUCCCUCUCUUUUUCUCCAGUGAAUCCAACACACUCUCAGUGAGACAGCCAGGUGGCAAGGGGUUCUCGGAGAAACUCCAGCCGGCCUGCUCGCUGGGCAUGUACACUGGAGUGGAGCCACAGAAGUUCACGGUGUUUGCAGCAGGGAGGAGCCUGGCCACUCCUCUUCCUGGUUGGAACCUGGAAUUUAUUUUGUGAGGCGGGAAGCCUAUACUGGGGAGACUCUUGCUCUGCUGAGUCCCCAUUCCCCCUUUAUUUUCCUUUUUGCCCAAUAAAUCCUAUUAUUCUCAGUCUUCAAAUUGUCUGUGAGCCUAAUCUUUCAUGGCCAUGUGACAAGGACCCCGUCAUUAGCUGAGCUAAGGAAAAGUCCUGCGACAUCAGAAGGCUGAGUCCCAGGUCCUUUGUUCCAAGAGCUGAGCUUCCUCAUGGGAUGUGGGGAGGGGGGUCAGCGCAGGUGAUCGGGAGGACUGAGGCUGUUGGAGGGGGACCCCAGAGGGAGGCUUCAGUGGCUGCAUCCACAACUGGGCCACCUGGGCAUCCUUCUGAGGCAGGUUUCUCUCCACGUGCAUGGCGUGGCCCUUCCACACAGCUGUCACAAGCUAGGAGGCUCACAUGCUCUUGGGAUUCUCGGGACAUCAUGGGUCCCUGAGGGUGGCGCAGGCUGAGGGUGUGCUCCCCCGCCGGCCUGGCACAAAAACAGUAACAUUAACAUGCUUCUCCAGACCAAAGAGGCUGCUCUCAGUGUAAUCAAUGAUGGCAGGGACUUCGAAAUGUGCGUUUCCAGUGAACAACAAUGUUUAGCCGCAUGUAGUCAUCAGGCACACCUAACUGGCUCCGGAAAGUGUUAUGUUGUGAAUUAAGAUGACUGACGGAGAAAUGUCAGUUUUAUUAACAUUCUUCCUUCGGACGAUAAUUUUAUGUCUAUAAGGAUGAAUUACAAAGGACUUAAUGAAGGCGUCAGUCCAGAAUGAUGGGGUCCUUUUAGCAAAGCCUGCUUCCUUUCCUCGCUCUGUGUGUGGAGGUUUGAUCUCUGCGUGGGGUAUGGUUUCCACGUGCUGGACAUGAUUGGGCAAAAAGUCAACAAAACAGGCUGCUUGGCUUCAGGCUGACUGUGUAAAAGCCUCACCGGCUCAAGGAGGGAUCGUCCUGGGCCCGACGGCAGCGAGUGAAAUAGCAGCAGCGUUGCCAUGGAAGAUGGUUCCGUGGCACCCAGACAUCAGCAGUGGGGCUGAUGGGACUCACAUCCACUCCAUCACGACUUCAUCUCCCAGGAAAGUGUCCUCCGGAGCUGGGAAGGUUCUUCCUUUGCCUCAGUCCCCGUUUCCUGCUCGUGUUCUGCCCAGGAGCCUGUGCAAAGGGCCCGUUGCCUCUCUCCGGCCCCUUGUGAUGACUCCUCUCUGGGAAGUCCCCCACUUCCCGCACAUUCCACUCUAGAAAUUCCUUCUCUCUGCAGCGAUCUGGUCAUGUUUUCAAAAGAUUAGCCACUGCUGAGAUCUCCUGCAUGGACUUCCUACUUAUGGAGGAUCUCACACAUGCUAGAAGGUUUCAUGGGGAGGCCCUGGCUGCUCUGUCCAGGGUCUGGAGCAGGGCAGGUGCACAGCAAGGCAGCUCACUGCACGGUUGUUUGCGGAAUGAAACGACUUUGCCAAAGCCAUGGCCGCAGACAUACGAUGCUCUAAACAUGUUUGUUAUAACCAUGUAAACACGCUUCUUUAGAAAAGCUUAUUUCUUAGGAAACCUCUUUCAGUUUCUGUGGCAACAACUCAGAUAUUCCUGAGGUCCAGAAAUGCGGCUGCUCUGCACGCUGGUCAUGGGCCUCUCCUCACCUGCCCCCAGGACGGGAGCAUGGGCUCCAUCUCUGGGCCUCCUGAAAAAUGAGAUGUCGACUUGAGUGGCCUCCGACCCUGUGAGGCUGAUGUCAUCGCUCACCAGGCUGAAGUUCAGCCAGGCACUGAACCUUUCUCAGGCCCUCAAAUUCAAACCCAGACCAACCUGUCACUCUCCUUUCCAAAGCAUGGGCCACUCAUCAUGA
This 3550-nucleotide long non-coding RNA is filed under the name Homo sapiens (human). Its description in RNAcentral is "HSALNT0000874". Lineage: Eukaryota; Metazoa; Chordata; Mammalia; Primates; Hominidae. The record is from RNAcentral.